UACGUAGGGGGCUAGCGUUGUCCGGAAUCAUUGGGCGUAAAGCGCGUGUAGGCGGCCCGGUAAGUCCGCUGUGAAAACUCGAGGCUCAACCUCGAGAUGUCGGCGGAAACUGUCUGGCUAGAGUCCGGAAGAGGAGAGUGGAAUUCCUGGUGUAGCGGUGAAAUGCGCAGAUAUCAGGAAGAACACCUAUGGCGAAGGCAGCUCUCUGGGACGGUACUGACGCUGAGGUGCGAAAGCGUGGGGAGCAAACAGG
RNAcentral lists this ribosomal RNA (253 nucleotides) under uncultured bacterium. RNAcentral's name for it is "partial 16S ribosomal RNA". It matches the Rfam family "Bacterial small subunit ribosomal RNA", at positions 524 to 776 of the family's 1533-position model. The record is from RNAcentral.